Molecule: ribosomal RNA, 253 nt
Filed under: uncultured bacterium
Lineage: Bacteria
Description: partial 16S ribosomal RNA
Rfam family: Bacterial small subunit ribosomal RNA
Source: RNAcentral
UACGGAGGGGGCGAGCGUUGUCCGGAUUUACUGGGCGUAAAGCGCGUGUAGGUGGCGGCUUAAGUCGGGUGUGAAAGCCCGGGGCUCAACCCCGGGAUGCCGCCCGCGACUGGGUCGCUUGAGGACGGAAGAGGGGAGUGGAAUUCCUGGUGUAGCGGUGAAAUGCGUAGAGAUCAGGAGGAACACCCGUGGCGAAGGCGGCUCCCUGGUCCGUCCCUGACGCUGAGACGCGAAAGCGUGGGGAGCGAACGGG